Molecule: ribosomal RNA, 473 nt
Filed under: uncultured bacterium
Lineage: Bacteria
Description: bacterial SSU rRNA
Rfam family: Bacterial small subunit ribosomal RNA
Source: RNAcentral
ACUCCUACGGGAGGCAGCAGUAGGGAAUCUUCCACAAUGGGCGAAAGCCUGAUGGAGCAACGCCGCGUGGGUGAAGAAGGUCUUCGGAUCGUAAAACCCUGUUGUUAGAGAAGAAAGUGCGUGAGAGUAACUGUUCACGUUUCGACGGUAUCUAACCAGAAAGCCACGGCUAACUACGUGCCAGCAGCCGCGGUAAUACGUAGGUGGCAAGCGUUAUCCGGAUUUAUUGGGCGUAAAGGGAACGCAGGCGGUCUUUUAAGUCUGAUGUGAAAGCCUUCGGCUUAACCGGAGUAGUGCAUUGGAAACUGGGAGACUUGAGUGCAGAAGAGGAGAGUGGAACUCCAUGUGUAGCGGUGGAAUGCGUAGAUAUAUGGAAGAACACCAGUGGCGAAGGCGGCUACCUGGUCUGCAACUGACGCUGAGACUCGAAAGCAUGGGUAGCGAACAGGAUUAGAUACCCUGGUAGGAUAGCG